CCUAGGAAUUAUUUUUAAGAGACAAUUUGCUCAUUUUUUCCACUGCUGGGAGAAACACUAGUUUACUUUUUAAAUAGCAUUUUGUUGGUAGUAUUUUAGUACAUUUAAUUUCCUAGAAAGUAAUAUUUUUCAUUCAUAUUGGUAUGCAUUUGUGUACUCGCAAGCACCUCAUGCUCCUCUUAAAUCCUACCUUGACUUAGGUCUUCGUUCCCUUACGUAGCUGGUGUUGAACUGACAUUGGUUGUCGAUGAAACACACCUUCCUGGGUACCAAGAAGUCCAGGUGGGUUGGCAGCAACAGCUCAGAUGUUGACUCCGACUCUGGGCCAAGGCACACAACGCGCGUCCAGUCACCAGCCUGCCGCAGCUGCUUUACCACAGCUCCUGUCGCGCACGCGCGGCUCGCGCGAGGCCCCUGCCGCGCAGGCGCAGCUCUCCUCUCUCUCGCUCGCGCGCGCACACUUCCGCGACGGUGGUGGUGGUGGUGGUGGAAUCCUGGCAAGCUGGGCGCUGUGCAAUUCCGCUGAAGCCUGGGGCGAGAGGUGUCCACCAGGCGUGUGCCUCUGUUGCUGCUUCCUAUGGCACCAUACAUCCUUCUCUUCUGCCUCUCUAGUGAGGUCUCAUUCAUGCGAUCUUUUAAUCCACUUGGCAGGUAAGGUUGGACCUUUCAGUUUUAUUCUGUGUAUUGGUUUUAGAUUUGAGAGCAUUUUGAAUUUUGGAUUUCUAGCUCAGUGAUCCUCAACCAGUUAAGUUUAUGAAAAUAUUGUAAAAUCCCC
This 775-nucleotide long non-coding RNA is filed under the name Fukomys damarensis (Damara mole-rat). RNAcentral's name for it is "lncRNA (ENSFDAG00000023653.1)". Lineage: Eukaryota; Metazoa; Chordata; Mammalia; Rodentia; Bathyergidae. The record is from RNAcentral.